GACGAACGCUGGCGGCGUGCUUAACACAUGCAAGUCGAACGGAAAGGCCCUGCUUUUGUGGGGUGCUCGAGUGGCGAACGGGUGAGUAACACGUGAGUAACCUGCCCUUGACUUUGGGAUAACUUCAGGAAACUGGGGCUAAUACCGGAUAGGAGCUCCUGCUGCAUGGUGGGGGUUGGAAAGUUUCGGCGGUUGGGGAUGGACUCGCGGCUUAUCAGCUUGUUGGUGGGGUAGUGGCUUACCAAGGCUUUGACGGGUAGCCGGCCUGGGAGGGUGACCGGCCGGAGUGGGACAUAGGUCCAGCCGAGACGGGGACGGGGGAGGGGAGUGGGGGAUAUAGCAGGAGGGGGGGAGGCCUGAGGCAGCAACGCGUCGGGCGAAGGGACGGCGGUCGUGAGGGAAGCCGCUAAGGCAUGUAACGGAGCGGGAGGGAAGGUGAUGGAUAAAGAAAUGCCGGCUAACUA
This 464-nucleotide ribosomal RNA is filed under the name uncultured bacterium. RNAcentral describes it as "partial 16S ribosomal RNA". The stretch from base 15 to 371 matches the Rfam family "Bacterial small subunit ribosomal RNA", at positions 42 to 397 of the family's 1533-position model. The record is from RNAcentral.